This 66-nucleotide ribosomal RNA is filed under the name Actinomycetota bacterium. The record is from RNAcentral. Lineage: Bacteria; Bacillati; Actinomycetota.
GUUAAGCCCGCCAGCGCCGAUGGUACUUGGAGGUAGACCUCCUGGGAGAGUAGGUCGCUGCCAGAA